UAAAACUCAAAUGUAGUUCGCUGAGGAUGAAGCGAGUUGCGGAAAAGACAUCUAUAUAUACCCGGAAAAUGCAAAGAAUUGUGACUUGUUAGAUAAAAAGGGGGACAACGAGGUGCGCAAUUUCGUUGCAAUGUUUACUGUAAACAAUGAGUAAUUGUGUAUUGCUGGUUGCUAGGCCACAACACCAACGAGGAGCUUGCGACCAAACUUUGAAGACCGUUUAUUGGCUAAACUUGUACGUUUACGAGUAAUUUGACUCUCGUUAAACACAUUGGCAUGACAACAAGGCGUUCGACUCUUUACAGAUUGAGAAU
Non-coding RNA from Schizosaccharomyces pombe (fission yeast), 314 nucleotides. The record is from the annotation of a GenBank genome assembly. Lineage: Eukaryota; Fungi; Ascomycota; Schizosaccharomycetes; Schizosaccharomycetales; Schizosaccharomycetaceae.